This 413-nucleotide ribosomal RNA is filed under the name uncultured bacterium. RNAcentral describes it as "bacterial SSU rRNA". It matches the Rfam family "Bacterial small subunit ribosomal RNA", at positions 29 to 419 of the family's 1533-position model. The record is from RNAcentral.
AGCGAACGCUGGCGGCGUGCUUAACACAUGCAAGUCGAGCGAAGGUGUUUCAAGGGUAACCUUGAGAUACACUUAGCGGCGGACGGGUGAGUAAUACGUGGAUAACUUACCUCUAGGCCUGGGAUAACCCCGGGAAACUGGGGCUAAUACCUGAUAAGACCACAUUGUCUACGGACAAAGGGGUAAAAGGUGGCUGUGCAAACAGCUAUCGCCAAAAGAUAGGUUCACGUCCCAUCAGGCAGUUGGUGAGGUAAUGGCUCACCAAACCAAAGACGGGUAGCCGGCCUUGGCGGGUGAACGGCCACACGGGGACUGAGACACGGCCCCGACUCCUACGGGAGGCAGCAGUGGGGAAUAUUGGGCAAUGGGCGCAAGCCUGACCCAGCGACGUCGCGUUGGGGAAGAAGGCCUUC